GGUCUGGGGACAUGAAGACCAAGAGACAGGGCCAGCGCAAGGAGAAGGUACACCAAUAAAAAGUGAUGCGUCUAUUCUUGUUCCCAUUUAUCCAACAAGCUAAAUGACUCCAGCAAGCAUUAGCAUCUGCCAUAGCACUUGCUUAGAUCAGGCAGGAGUCAAUAGUUUGCCAAAAGUUCAAUGAUACAUUCUGAAUGUGGUGUAUCAUUUACAGUCACUUUCUCUCUCAUGCCCCUUUCUCCAACACCCAUAAUUUUUUUCCCUUCCUUUUCUCUGGGAUUUCUUGCUAUUUGACAGCAAAGCAAAUGAGCUAUGCCCAGUGAAGAAUGAACACACGACUCUGGUUACCUGGCUUUGCUCGCUGCCUCUGUUUAAUCGCGUGUGACUUCCUGAGUAAUUGGAGAAGACGCUGGGUGUGAAGUGAGGAAUGUGCAGCUACUGCAGCUCUCUUGAUGACCUCCAUCGGCUUUGGAGAAGUUUGGAUUCAGAGAUACCACGGUAAGAGAGAACAGUAAUGAUGUUGAAGGACAAGGGGAGAGUGAGCCACAGGAAAAUGGGCAGGUGGGGCUCCCCUUGAAUCUCUAGGUCUGGCAACAAUGGCAGUGGAAAAUGUGAAUGCCGGGACAGAACUGCUGAUGCUGUGGCUUCCUUCUCAGCUCUGUCACCAACUCCUUUGACCUUGGCAAACUUCUUCUCCUGGACUCAUUGCUUCUCCACCUAGAUGUCAUUAAGGCUCCAAAUGGGCAGGAAGCCGGAGCCUCGGACAAUGGCUCCCUUUUGCCAGUGAUCCUUAGGUAGACGUCUGGGAGGAAUCUGACUGCGGUUUUCCCCAAACAAUGCCCCCUUUCAGCAGGAAGUAGCUAAGACUGGUCAUCAUCCAUAUUCUAAAGGCAGUUAGAUAUGCCUCUUCAGAGGGUGAAAAUGAUACAGAAUGGCUCUGGGCUCCCAGCUAAACCCGACCCUCAAGCCUGGAACCUCAGCCCUAAGUAAAAACAGCUGACCCUGAAGGGCUGGCCUUCCAACUAAGCUCCACCCUUAAGCUUGGAACCUUGGCCCUAAGUGAAAACAGCUGACUUUGCUUUUCCACCAAAAUGAUUGCCUUUUUGGCCUGCCACACCCCUAUCCAGUGCCCAUAAAAAGACUUCAGCUGAAAGAGCAACACAAGCAGCUGAUGCAAGUAGUUGGGGGAUGCAAGCUUCUGAACAUCAGGGAUACCUGCAGCUGGUCAUCAGAGACUAUGGAUAGACAUGGCUAACUUCAGACAGUUCAGCUUCAGGGAGAGAUUACCUUCUUCCUGCACUAUUCCCUUUGCAAUUCCCCAUCCAACUGAGAGCCAGUGUUAUCACCCAAUAAAAUCCUCUGCAUACACCAACCUUCAAAUAGUUCAUGUGACCUGAUUCUACCUGGACACCGAACAAGAACUCAGGUACAAAAAAGGGCAGGUGCAGGAGGCUGUCACCCUGACCCUUCCCUGAGUUGUUAACACUUAGCUGUCCACAGACUGCAGGCUUGGUGAAACGAGGCACUCCAGUUUCUGCCUACUAAGGGGGUCAAGGGAAAUAUUCCAUCUCAAUAGUAUAUUAUCUUUUUCAUGUGCUAUUGGAUUUAAUUUGCUAGUAUUUUUUGAGGAUUUUUGUGUUUAUGUUCAUCAGGGAUACUGAUGAACAUAGUUUUCUUUCUUUGUUGUGUCUUUGCCUGGUUUUGGUAUCAAGAUAAUGCUGACCUCCUAGAAUGAGUUAGGAAGAAGACCCUUCUUUUCAUUUUUUUGAAUUAGUUUGAGGAGAAUUGGUGUUAGUUCUUUUUUGUA
This 1807-nucleotide long non-coding RNA is filed under the name Homo sapiens (human). RNAcentral's name for it is "HSALNT0096591". Lineage: Eukaryota; Metazoa; Chordata; Mammalia; Primates; Hominidae. The record is from RNAcentral.